Austrofundulus limnaeus is the source of this 372-nucleotide long non-coding RNA. RefSeq lists it as uncharacterized. The transcript is spliced from 3 exons. Lineage: Eukaryota; Metazoa; Chordata; Actinopteri; Cyprinodontiformes; Rivulidae. The record is from RefSeq and is a predicted model, not a curated record.
CCUCACCUGCUCUGGAUUUGACUCAUCAGCUCUCAGGCUUCUUCAGGCUGUUUGGAGGAUCUUUGCUGAAGCAUUGCUACUCUUGGAGUUUAAGGACUUCCUGAGUGCCCUCUGAUCCACCUGUUUUCCAAGYCUGCCUGUAAACUCUUAYCUGAAGAGCCUCUCACCUGAUUCUUCACGUGCWCUGCCUGUCUGCCUCCACCAAACUAAGAACYAAAUACUCACCUGUUGACCUGGGGCCAUCUCCUCCAUGCUGAGUCUAUACCUAUCUGCGUUCAGUGUGUCCGCGCUCACCUACCGUGAAAGUUCAGGGCCAAGAGAAACACGCACAUUCACAGCUGUUUGUCACAAGGUUGGAAACCUCUGAUAGAG